UGCAGCGCCCCACCCCGGGAACCCAGGUCUUCCGCCUGCAUUAUCUAGAGAAAGUCUAGAUCAAUUUACUACUCCUCUAAGGAGUCUAUUGCUAGGACUCAGAGCUAGACAGUCCUGUGAAUCUCAAGAGUUAAUGGAGAAAUAUUCUAGCUGCUUUUUCUAAAUACAGGACAGGAAGGCACAGAAAUUAUUAGAAAAAAAAAAGCUGGCUGAAUGUCAGACAAUAUGUGUUGCUAUGAAAGAGAACCAACUUUAACUUUACUUUUCCCCUCAACCUUGGCCUGCUCUCAUGCAAAGCACGAUGCCUCAGAAAGAAAAUGUCUACUGGAGUCACUAAAACGCUUUUGAUUAAAGAAAUCUAAAUGCUCAAAAUCCAUAGUGCAGAGAAACAUGCAAACUCAAAUGAACUGGCUGAGCACAAAGCCGGUGCGGCUGCUGGGAGACAAGCCAUCCUCUUGCGUUCCUCUUCCUCUUCCUCCAGGGCGCUGGCGCCAGGCCCCUUGUCUGCUGACCGAGCUGCAGCUUCCUUGAAGGAGUCCACUUGGAAGAGGGAAAAGCCCCUCGGGUGCAAGCUGGACGCGUGGGAGCGUCGUGCGGAGGCAGGCUCCGCACCCAAGGGCAGGCCUCUUCUUGGGCUCACCAGAGCCGCUGCCAACUGUCCCAUUUCAACAAGGAGUCUUAAAAUGAACAUUCAUAGAAUCAGAAGCAACACAAUACUGAGAAGCAACAUGAUAUUGAACAUUUCAUCACAGUACAUUCUUUAAAUUUCAUGUUUAGAAGCUAUAAAAAUACAAAAAUUUACAUUUUUUAAAAGUUAAAACAUUUAAAAACUGGUUACCUUUUUCGCAUUUUCCUUCAGAUAUCUAAGAUUUAAUAGACUAAAACCAGACCUUAUACUAGCUUUAUGAAUACUGCAAAAACAAAAGGGGUAAUUCCGUGAGGACAGGUGAACUGGUUUUCUAUUUACUGCUCCUCACACACCCCAACAGCGGUGAGCCCUGGAGCGGGGCUGCACCCACAGACAGAUGGGUCGUGUGAGAAUCCGACCCACGGCCCUCCCCCAGCAACUGUCCUAAACAAACCUUGGAGAAGGUAACAUACAAACCCAUCAGAGAUUUCUAAAUGGUAAGUCUCUGGAGGCAGCUCCAGGCAUCACGGGGGAAUCUGUGUGGCGUCCGUGUGGCCGCAUCCCCUGACGUAAGCGUGCCAGUGCACAGCUCUAACACAGAUACACUCAACAAUCAGUAACCUUUCGGUUUCUAAUCAACAACUUUCAGUAUUCAAGUACUGAUAGUAUUAAUCCAUGAACUUUAAAUUCUUAAAAACAAAUGAAAUCUUGAGAACAUAGAAACUUAUUGCUGUAUUUGAAAUGAUACAAUAUUUUUUAAAGUAUCCAUGAAAUAAUUUAAAGAUGCACACCUUUUACCAGAGCGUGUCACCCAAAGCUGCUGAAAAGAGCAACUUCAGGGCUUCUAGAAAUCAUGACAUAACCCCACACUGACAUCAGCCAAUUUGUCUUUUCAAUUCUCACAGCUUUCCAUACCAUUUUUUUUUUUUAAGAGAAAGGUACUGCAUCUUUAUCAUACAGGUACAGCAGUUUUAAAGGGACAAAAUUCAAGU
Molecule: long non-coding RNA, 1620 nt
Organism: Cercocebus atys (sooty mangabey)
Lineage: Eukaryota; Metazoa; Chordata; Mammalia; Primates; Cercopithecidae
Exons: 2
Source: RefSeq, a predicted model, not a curated record